RNAcentral lists this transfer RNA (73 nucleotides) under Cotesia glomerata. RNAcentral's name for it is "tRNA-Thr". It matches the Rfam family "tRNA". From Rfam's summary of the family: Transfer RNA (tRNA) molecules are approximately 80 nucleotides in length. Their secondary structure includes four short double-helical elements and three loops (D, anti-codon, and T loops). Further hydrogen bonds mediate the characteristic L-shaped molecular structure. tRNAs have two regions of fundamental functional importance: the anti-codon, which is responsible for specific mRNA codon recognition, and the 3' end, to which the tRNAs corresponding amino acid is attached (by aminoacyl-tRNA synthetases). tRNAs cope with the degeneracy of the genetic code in two manners: having more than one tRNA (with a specific anti-codon) for a particular amino acid; and 'wobble' base-pairing, i.e. permitting non-standard base-pairing at the 3rd anti-codon position. The record is from RNAcentral. Lineage: Eukaryota; Metazoa; Arthropoda; Insecta; Hymenoptera; Braconidae.
GAUCUGGUAGUUUAAAUGAUAGAACACCCGACAUGUAUUCGAAGAGAUCUGGGUUCGAUUCCUAGCUUGGUCU